RNAcentral lists this ribosomal RNA (429 nucleotides) under Pseudomonadota bacterium. Its description in RNAcentral is "Proteobacteria bacterium partial 16S ribosomal RNA". It matches the Rfam family "Bacterial small subunit ribosomal RNA", at positions 355 to 776 of the family's 1533-position model. The record is from RNAcentral. Lineage: Bacteria; Pseudomonadati; Pseudomonadota.
UGGGGAAUAUUGGACAAUGGGCGAAAGCCUGAUCCAGCCAUGCCGCGUGUGUGAAGAAGGUCUUCGGAUUGUAAAGCACUUUAAGUUGGGAGGAAGGGCAGUAAGCGAAUACCUUGCUGUUUUGACGUUACCGACAGAAUAAGCACCGGCUAACUCUGUGCCAGCAGCCGCGGUAAUACAGAGGGUGCAAGCGUUAAGCGGAAUUACUGGGCGUAAAGCGCGCGUAGGUGGUUCGUUAAGUUGAAAGUGAAAGCCCCGGGCUCAACCUGGGAACUGCAUCCAAAACUGGCGAGCUAGAGUAGGGCAGAGGGUGGUGGAAUUUCCUGUGUAGCGGUGAAAUGCGUAGAUAUAGGAAGGAACACCAGUGGCGAAGGCGACCACCUGGGCUCAUACUGACACUGAGGUGCGAAAGCGGGGGGAGCAAACAGG